AGUUCGGAUCGCAGGCUGCAGCUCGCCUGCGUCAAGUUGGAAUUGCUAGUAAUCGCGGAUCAGCAUGCCGCGGUGAAUACGUUCCCGGGCCUUGUACACACCGCCCGUCACACCAUGAGAGUCGGGAACACCCGAAGUCCGUAGUCUAACCGCAAGGAGGGCGCGGCCGAAGGUGGGUUCGAUAAUUGGGGUGAAGUCGUAACAAGGUACC
RNAcentral lists this ribosomal RNA (211 nucleotides) under uncultured bacterium. RNAcentral describes it as "partial 16S ribosomal RNA". It matches the Rfam family "Bacterial small subunit ribosomal RNA", at positions 1290 to 1500 of the family's 1533-position model. The record is from RNAcentral.